RNAcentral lists this ribosomal RNA (157 nucleotides) under Heliofungia actiniformis. RNAcentral describes it as "5.8S ribosomal RNA". It matches the Rfam family "5.8S ribosomal RNA". From Rfam's summary of the family: 5.8S ribosomal RNA (5.8S rRNA) is a component of the large subunit of the eukaryotic ribosome. It is transcribed by RNA polymerase I as part of the 45S precursor that also contains 18S and 28S rRNA. The record is from RNAcentral. Lineage: Eukaryota; Metazoa; Cnidaria; Anthozoa; Scleractinia; Fungiidae.
ACUUUUGACGGUGGAUCUCUUGGCUCACGCAUCGAUGAAGAACGCAGCCAGCUGCGAUAAGUAGUGUGAAUUGCAGAAUUCAGUGAAUCAUCGAAUCUUUGAACGCAAAUGGCGCUCUUGGGUUCUCCCAGGAGCAUGUCUGUCUGAGUGUCGGAUA